CUACGGGCGGCUGCAGUGGGGAAUUUUGGACAAUGGGGGCAACCCUGAUCCAGCAAUGCCGCGUGAGUGAAGAAGGCCUUCGGGUUGUAAAGCUCUUUUGUCAGGGAAGAAACAGCAGCUCUAACACAGUCUGCGAAUGACGGUACCUGAAGAAUAAGCACCGGCUAACUACGUGCCAGCAGCCGCGGUAAUACGUAGGGUGCGAGCGUUAAUCGGAAUUACUGGGCGUAAAGCGUGCGCAGGCGGUUAUACAAGACAGGCGUGAAAUCCCCGGGCUUAACCUGGGAAUGGCGUCUGUGACUGUAUAGCUAGAGUGUGUCAGAGGGGGGUGGAAUUCCACGUGUAGCAGUGAAAUGCGUAGAUAUGUGGAGGAACACCAAUGGCGAAGGCAGCCCCCUGGGAUAACACUGACGCUCAUGCACGAAAGCGUGGGGAGCAAACAGGAUUAGAUACCCCCGUAGUC
This 463-nucleotide ribosomal RNA is filed under the name uncultured bacterium. RNAcentral's name for it is "partial 16S ribosomal RNA". It matches the Rfam family "Bacterial small subunit ribosomal RNA", at positions 339 to 795 of the family's 1533-position model. The record is from RNAcentral.